Molecule: unclassified non-coding RNA, 1887 nt
Filed under: Daphnia pulex (common water flea)
Lineage: Eukaryota; Metazoa; Arthropoda; Branchiopoda; Diplostraca; Daphniidae
Description: uncharacterized LOC124198620, transcript variant X8
Source: RNAcentral
GUCAUGCAAAUGGCGACCAUUGUUGUGCAUUUCAAUUUAGAAUAUUUACCUAAAUAUGCUGAGUUUGUUGGAGUGGGAUUGGACUUGUACUUACUGUCUUUUCGUUUUAUUUAUUAGAAAAUAGUAAUAUAGAGUUUCCUCAAUGUUUUUGUUAGUCAAGCACAGAUUUCAGCUUUUGCUUCUUUCUAAGUGUUAAAAAAUCAUUCCUUCCUGAAGCCUGAACUGAAUCUUUUGAUAGCACAAAUUGAAAGAACUCUUCCGCUUGAUCCUAAACCAAAGACGUGUACUUCACUGUGAUCGGACUCUGUUGCCUUGACUGCAAGAUACUUGAUGAAUCCCUACCUGCUGUAAGCAUCCUGGCUUCAUGGAAACCGGUUCAUCUUCUAAGAUGAAGAAUUUUCACGAUUGUGGAAUCCUCGAGUCGUCAAACAUUGCAUGAAGCUCAGAGUUGUGUAUAUCUCUCUUGCUGCAAUGUCUCUUGCAGAUGGAUUGGAUUACCACUCCUGUAGAUGCGAUGUCUAUAGCUUCAUGAGCAGGGGGUGUUGGUGUGCCAACCCAUCAGGAAGAUCAGAAUUAUCUUCUUCUCCCUUAAGGAAAUGUGUCUAACUCUAAAAUGUGUGCGCCAGGUGGCCAUGAAGUACAGAGGUACGUGGGCGGAGACAUUCCGAUUUCAUGACAGUGUCUUCUUGUUUCGGGAAUAUUGUCGGACUUCAUUGCUAGAAACUACCGGAUGCUACUCACUUCGUCAGGUAAACUAGCCUAUAAUUCUCUUGGCCAAAAUAUCCGACGUGGCAUGACUUUGGUCCAGAUUGCCGAAAUGUUAGAUUUUGCUGCCUAUAUAGGCUCUACGAAUUUUGUUUGUUUGAUCAGAGUAAGUUGUCUUCUGAUAGCUCAUCUCAUCCUGUGCCAUAUCAUGUCACAGCAAAAACUGCCAGUGAAGUAAAAGCAAGUGUGGACCUGUGGUUUUAUAUGAUAAUACACUAAAAUUAUCAUCGUCGCCAUUUUGAUUUUUUACUGUGAACCACUUUAAACGCUUGCGUACGGCGAUCAUACGUAUCCCGUAGGUAAUGAUAACUGGAUUAAUAUGAAACUCACCAGACCGACCUGAAUUCUCCACCUUUAAGUAUUGACAACAUUCAAACCACUGCGCUGGAUAGCUUAAUUCGGUAGUAACAGAAUUCUCACGUUCAGUUCACCCGGUGGAAAGGAUGGUAUCCAACAAGUCAAUUAAUCUCAACUAUCUGUAAAGCUUGUUCCAUCAACCUCUGCUGUGUCUACGCAGACUGGCAAUCCGACAUGCAAAGCAUUCUGCCUCCCAGUAUGAAGCGCACAACAGACUUCCAACAGCAGAUAAAAGUAGAGGUGUACUGCCCAUUUUAAAUCUUGGUUCUACUUAGUUUCUACAGCUAUUUUUCAGCAAAGAAAUCACUAACCACGAAGCGGUUUGAGUUUUUCGUCUGUAUUGGUCAUUCCAUUGUAUUUGUUAGAUGUGCUAUCAGAUCGAGAAUGUAGAGAACUUGUUUAGAAUGCAACCCAGCUAAGAGUUAGAGUUUCAGUGACAUGGAGAGUAUGAAGUGAAUAAUCUGCAAUGUGUAUGAACAUAGAUCUGUACAUGACACAUGAGUACAGAUAUAUAAUAGGAAACAAUUUUAUUUUUUAAAUCCAUAUAGCCAAUAAUCAUUCUAUUCUUUCCUACAGAUGUGCAAUCACGAAUGUUAUGAAUUUCAUUUUGGGGUCAAUGGAGUUGGUGCUGGUUGCCGUUACUGGCCUUUUGCAACGUCCAGACAGGAUGUCCUUCUCGCUUGAAGGUCACGAGAAACAUUCCGUAAAACUGGCAUGCGGUGGUGUAGAGGUUGGGUGAGAAUGACACGUGUUUCAUCACUAUCA